Long non-coding RNA from Esox lucius (northern pike), 6352 nucleotides. NCBI's taxonomy places the organism in Eukaryota, Metazoa, Chordata, Actinopteri, Esociformes, Esocidae. The record is from Ensembl.
ACGUUUUACUAUACAUUAGUACACACAGCUAACUCAGCUAUCUCAAUGGGAACAUCCAGGUUGAUUGUCCUAAAAAAAUAUAUUUGUAUUUCAUUAAAACUAAACAGAAACCCACAUACCAUCUGCACACACCCUGGGGGCUGAGAUUUGGAGCUGAGUCUGCAGACUGAGAUUGGGCUUCAAAUGGAUAGCAUAUGUUCUACAGUUGAUAAGAAGGCUUCCUAAGGUUUUAUAAUGCUCAAAAUUAACUGAUUGUCUGUGUGUUUGUCUCACUGACUGCCUUCUUGUCUGCCUGUGUACUGUAGAGCAGUCUGUUUGUCUCACUGACAGCCUUCUUGUCUGUCUGUCUGCCUGUCUGCCUGUGUACAGUAAGAGCAGUCCGUUUGUCUCACUGACAGCCUUCUUGUCUGUCUGUCUGCCUGUGUACAGUAGAGCAGUCCGUUUGUCUCACUGACAGCCAUCUUGUCUGUCUGCCUGUGUACUGUAGAGCAGUUUGGGUGUAUUCAGUAGAGAGCAGCUGGACCCAAAUCCUCUUCUGGCCUUCACAUAGGUCACAUGCCCAGAUACCUACUGCCUUACACAAACCAAAACACAAACACAUACAAUUUUCUUGGGAAAUAAAUUAGCCCCUGUCUAACGAAUGCUGCACAGAGGCAGUUUGGUCGUGUAGGUUUCCAUUAAUGAACCUAAGAGCCUGGACACACCAAGUUAGACAUCUGUUUAUAGACUUCACGCAGACUUCCUGCUGAGAGAGUGCUAGUGUUGUGAACCCGUCAGGCCACAGGAACAUUUAAUAUUGUGUACAAAACAGAAAAUAAUAAUGGAAACAAAGUGUGGUCUAGGCUACUCCUAGAGGGUCUGAAAGAGCCUGCUGUGACAUGUGACAUGGCUUAGAUCAGGGGUCAAAGGUCAGGGGAGAUGGGGUUAGUGUCAGGGCAGCCAGGAUUUACAUUAUUUGGUCAUUCCUCUUUGUAUAAAGCUCUCUGCUGUGUAAAACUUUAUCAUCCUCCUCUCACUCCACUUCAGCAGCAUUCUCCACUACUUUAAGAUAUUACAGGAGCUAAAAUCUUUCUCUGUGCUCUCCUGUCCCUCAACCUUCGCUCUCCUGUGCCUCAACCUUCGCUCUCCUGUGCCUCAACCUUCGUUCUCCUGUCCCUCAACCUUCGUUCUCCUGUGCCUCAACCUUCGCUCUCCUGUGCCUCACUCCUCUUCUCCUCUUCUCAUAACAUCCCCACUCCUCUUUUCUUUCUGGCAUGCCUCUUCUCCCUUUUUUCCUUCCUUCCGUUCUCCUCUCCUCCACCUCUACUCUCCCCCUCCCCUUCCGUAAGGAUUAAUUCUGUCUCAUUUACAGAAAUAUGACAUUCCUUUUUAGAAGCCAGAUCCAGCCGGUUAAAGCCCUGCCAUCUGUUCCCACUGCACACACACACACACACACACACACACAUAUAUAUCUGAAAGGAGUCCAAACACGAUUUCUAUUCAAAAUCGGUGCCCUACACCUAAACCCUGAACCCUAAUUCUAACACUUAACGUCAUUCUAACCCUAACCUCAACCCUAAUUCAAAUUCAAGCCCCAAUUGUAACAUUGCAUUGUUGAACCUAGGUUUUAGGUGUUUUUGGUUUAUGUCUAAGGAGUAGAAGUCAGAAUAAGUGUUUGCUCUCUGUAGUAAAUUGCCCUGAAGGAGAGCAUCAACUAAAAUCCCUAAAUGUAACUGUACUGUAGACCCUGCAGCUCACCCUUGUCUUUCAUGGAGCCCAGCGGAAUGAACCCACAAGGUCACAGUUUAUGUUUAUUGUCCUUUCAGGGGGAUUUUUGGUCAAGACGGGUAUGAUAAAACCUGUACAUCCACAGAGACAGUCAUGAUAUAACACUGGGUCAUGAUGCUGCUGAACACUGGGUCAUGAGGCUGCUGAACACUGGGUCAUGAGACAGCUGAACACUGGGUUAUGAGACAGCUGAACACUGGGUUAUGAGACAGCUGAACACUGGGCCAUGAGACAGCUGAACACUGGGUUAUGAGACAGCUGAACACUGGGUCAUGAGACAGCUGAACACUGGGUCAUGAGACAGCUGAACACUGGGUUAUGAGACAGCUGAACACUGGGUUAUGAGACAGCUGAACACUGGGCCAUGAGACAGCUGAACACUGGGUUAUGAGACAGCUGAACACUGGGUCAUGAGACAGCUGAACACUGGGUUAUGAGACAGCUGAACACUGGGUUAUGAGACAGCUGAACACUGGGCCAGAAUACUAUGCAGUUCUAAAACUGAUCCUUGGAUUAAUCUUUGCCUCCCUCACAAUCUUCCUCACUGUGUGUGGGGGCAAUGUGUCUUCUUGCCUCAGGGGUCUGGGACCCCAGCAGACUGGGUCCAGUGGGUUAGGACUCUGCUUCAGGGGUCUGGGACCCCAGCAGACUGGGUCCAGUGGGUUAGGACUCUGCUUCAGGGGUCUGGGACCCCAGCAGACUGGGUCCAGUGGGUUAGGACUCUGCUUCAGGGGUCUGGGACCCCAGCAGACUGGGUCCAGUGGGUUAGGACUCUGCUUCAGGGGUCUGGGACCCCAGCAGACUGGGUCCAGUGGGUUAAAACUCAGGGGUACUCAAUUAUGAGACUAAUUCAAUUAUAAUUGAAAUUGCAAUAUUUUAAUCACUCCCACAGUUUUUAGUUUGAAUCAAAUGUGAAUGAGACAUGGCUCAUGUGACAGACAAAUUAUGGUAUACCAAUAAUGGUCAAAUAAUUUACAGUUUCAGCUUAAACAGCAUAGUUAAGAUUUUCAGCUUCAAUGUCAUGGUUAUUAAGAGUUUCAGCUUCAAUGUCAUGGUUAUUAAGAGUUUCAGCUUCAACGUCAUGGUUAUUAAGAGUUUCAGCUUCAAUGUCAUGGUUAUUAAGAGUUUCAGCUUCAAUAUCAUGGUUAUUAAGAGUUUCAGCUUCAACGUCAUGGUUAUUAAGAGUUUCAGCUUCAAUGUCAUGGUUAUUAAGAGUUUCAGCUUCAAUGUCAUGGUUAUUAAGAGUUUCAGCUUCAACAGCAUGUUUAUUUAGUUGCAGCUUCAAGAUUGGUGCAUGCAAACAGGCUACUUGAUGUGGGUGAAAAUGUCACUGAAGGGUUGAGAUAGUUUGCUUAACUAGCCUGCUGGCAACUGCGCAAACACCUUUGCAUUGAAUUAAUAUAUAGACUACGACAACAUUUAGACAAGCUGUACCUUGGGCUACAACAUUGUUAGCCUUGAAACUGGUAACCUAAAGUUUUAUAUGUCUUAAAAGAACUUCGUUUUUUUAUAAUCAGUUAGAAAUCAUAGAGUUUACAAUGUGCUAUGACGUGAUUUUAAAAGUGAGGUUAUCUACCCUGUUCAUACUCAAGUGAUAUUUCAUCCAAAUUGUGCAGCCCUACUCAUGGGCCCCGUACCUAUGCAGACCGGGUCCAGUGGGUUAAAACUCUGCCUCGGACCCUGUACUUCUGCAGCCUCAGGGGCCCAGUACCACUGCAGACUUGGUCCAAUGGGUUAAGAUUCUGCCUCAGGGGCCCUGUACCACUGCAGGCUGGGUCCAGUGGGUUAAGACUGCCUCAGGGGCCCCGUACCACUGCAGCCACAGGGGCCCCAUACCACUGCAGCUGUCCGAAACGCAGCCCUGCGGGCCUCAUGCUACGUCCCCUGGGUUCCAAUCUGGCCCACUAAGAAAAUCUGACCUUUAAUCCUCUCAACACUGCCGGUCAAAUAAAGCAUAACAUUCUAAAGUGAAGCCAUUCAAUGUGUCAUCGUUCAAAUAAUCUAUAGAGAUAAGUUGUUGAAACAAUGUAACUGUGAGGCAAACUGUUCCAAUAGGAUUGUUUGCUUUUUUUCAUUUUCACAUUCGUAGUCUAGGCUGAUCCAGCACGUAAACCAAUUCAUUUUCAAACCGUGUGUCCUGCAGAUUUGACUUUUUGUGAUCCACAGAAAAUAAUUCAGAAGACUAUGAGUAGAAAAUAUAAAAUGUAGUAAACUUGCCGUAAGAAACAGGCAUCACACUUUCAACAGAUCACAGUGUUUAUUAUCAGAUGUAUAAAGUUAUAUUAAGUUUCAGCCACUCUGAGUACCCUCACAUUAACAACCAGGUUCCUGUAAAGCGACUGAUCGUCCACUUCAUACCUGACAGUCUCCUGAUUAGUAAGGAUUGUCUGCCUUUAAGCUGUGAGGUUUCUCUAGUAGUACUACAGAGAUUUAAUACAGUCAAGGACAAACAAUCAUGCAUGCAGAAAAGCCAAUGUGCACACACACACACACACACACACACACACACAGUCACAGUCACCUGAAAGCCACAUCACUAUGAACAGACUCAGAUAACACCAGUGAUAGAUAUUGAUAUACACCAACAUUUUCCAAAGAAAAAUAAAUGAGAAUAAUUAAACACUAGUUAUCAGUGCAUCCGUAUGAGACUGAAUUGGUCCAUGUUAAGGAAAAGGGACAUUAACAGCAAGGUUUACAGGAGGAGAUAUCAACAUCAAGGUUUACAGGAGGAGAUAUCAACAUCAAGGUUUACAGGAGGAGAUAUCAACAUCAAGGUUUUUACUCCAGACUUGGAUUACUUCUCUUUUAUCUUCUAACUGAUUAAAUGCCACAUCGGUUAAAAAUGGUUUGACCAUACAUCCUCAUAACCGUUGUUGAAAUAUGUUGAAGUCUUAUUUUAACGAAACUAAAUACGUUUCGCAUAAUACGUUAAAUCUCCGCGCACGGCAUGGUUUAUCUCCGCGCGCCCAAACUCUGCAACAGCUGGUCGGGAAAAGACACCGAGGAUGGAGAGGAAAAUAAAGCUAGAGUUGACAAGAACGAUAAACGCACAGUAUGAAAGACAGUCGCUUACAAUCAGCUUGACAAUUUGACAGAAAACACCAAACACCUUUUUAGAGUGAACGUACCGUUAAUGAACUGAGUAGGGCGCGUCUCCAAAAACUUCUCCGGGACCCUGAAACUUUCCCAGCCCGGUUUUCUGUGGCACCGGUGGAGGCAUGGUUCCUGGAAGCGGUAAGUAUAUCUGAUCGGUGUUGACUAGGUGCCUAGCUAGCGUGUGGACAUAAGGCUCUCGGAGGCGGCCUGGGCAAUCACCCGCGAGACAGAUGUGAGCGUGACAUAACGACAACAUCGUGAUUACGAUUAAUUUGGCUAAUUCCCCGGUUUGAGGAAGAAACAAAUCCUCUCACCGUCCGUCCUUCCUCUGGAGAGAGAGGGGGAGACAAUGAGAGUUCUGUUUAAUGUCCUGCUCUAGCAGUCUCCGAUCUCCUCCCCUCUUCAUUUUCCCUUUUGCCCUUUUUUUGUAAACACCACUUUACAAAGUGGGCAUAUUUGCGUAUUUAGGGAAAGGGAAAACUACACAGUCUAGGCUAACGGAUAUUUGGCUUCCGCAUUUAACCAACCCGGAAUGGGAGAGGUUGGAGCAAUUAACUGCCCUGCUCGGGGACAGACCGAUAUAUCACGUAUCAAUCCAGACAGACCCAAGCUCUUAAAUAAAUGCCCGAUCAUACACUUAAACAUUAGCUGACAAACUGUAUUUCAUGGAAACAAUGUGAUUUUUCAGUCAUGAUCUCUGAUAAACUCAAAACGACAGCUGCUGCAAACAACGUAAUCUGCGUGCCCCGUCCCUCUGGAAGUCGAGCAUGAAGAAGCGGUAACGUUUAUUUAUGGCCUGCCAUAAACAGAACUCCCGGGGCAUUGGCUCGUCAGCGCUGGAAAAGAGCAGGUCUUCCCGGAGUAAUGGAAUGAUGGAAAGAGCAGGUCUUUCCGGAGUAAUGGAAUGAUGGAAAGAGCAGGAGAGCCACUGCCUCGUCCUGGAUGGCAGGGAGCCAUGAAGCAGUUUGGAGCCAACAGUCUUUUAGCUCCCUUGAUGUGUUUGGUGUUGCAGAGACAUUAGUCUGUUAGUGCAGACAUGCCUUAAUGAGAAGAGUGCAGGGAUUUAGUUGAACCCAAACACAACCAGGCAUGCAGAGCAACGCGAGACAGAAACUGACAGAUCUCGUGUUGAGGAUCUCUUAUUGAGGAUCUUGUGUUGAGGAUCUCGUGUUGAGGAUCUCGUAUUGAGGAUCUCGUAUUGAAGAUCUAGUGAGAUCUUGGCCACCCCGAAGGCUUGGCGAACUCUCACUUCCUCCCACUGCUCUGGCUGCAUACCAGCCAACUAAUAGCACAGCCACCAGUGGAUCAAUAGCUAUCAGCAGUCUGAAGGCCUUCCAGGCUGCCGGGAACCUUGAUGCACCCUGGUGUAACAGAGACAGAAAGGAUACAUGAUAUCACCACAUUACUACAGCCCUGGGGGUGUCUGUAGAGAGAGAGAGGAGAGGGUGGGGUGGUGUGGGUGAGGGAGAGAGGGACAGAGAGAGAGGAG